GACGAACGCUGGCGGCGUGCCUAAUACAUGCAAGUUGAGCGAUGAAGCUUGGUGCUUGCACCAAUUUGAAGAGCAGCGAACGGGUGAGUAACGCGUGGGGAAUCUGCCUUUGAGCGGGGGACAACAUUUGGAAACGAAUGCUAAUACCGCAUAACAACUUUAAACAUAAGUUUUAAGUUUGAAAGAUGCAAUUGCAUCACUCAAAGAUGAUCCCGCGUUGUAUUAGCUAGUUGGUGAGGUAAAGGCUCACCAAGGCGAUGAUACAUAGCCGACCUGAGAGGGUGAUCGGCCACAUUGGGAAGGAGACAAGGCCCAAACUCCUACGGGAGGCAGCAGUAGGGAAUCUUCGGCAAUGGACGAAAGUCUGACCGAGCAACGCCGCGUGAGUGAAGAAGGGUUUCGGAUCGGAAAACUCUGUUGGUAGAGAAGAACGUUGGUGAGAGUGGAAAGCUCAUCAAGUGACGGUAACUACCCAGAAAGGGACGGCUAACUACGUG
This 497-nucleotide ribosomal RNA is filed under the name uncultured bacterium. RNAcentral describes it as "partial 16S ribosomal RNA". It matches the Rfam family "Bacterial small subunit ribosomal RNA", at positions 28 to 507 of the family's 1533-position model. The record is from RNAcentral.